GGGGAUGUAGCUCAGUUGGGAGAGCGCUUGAAUCGCACUCAAGAGGUCGGGGGUUCGAAUCCCCCCAUCUCCACCA
This 76-nucleotide transfer RNA is filed under the name Armatimonadetes bacterium CG2_30_66_41. RNAcentral's name for it is "tRNA-Ala". It matches the Rfam family "tRNA". Rfam says of the family: Transfer RNA (tRNA) molecules are approximately 80 nucleotides in length. Their secondary structure includes four short double-helical elements and three loops (D, anti-codon, and T loops). The record is from RNAcentral. Lineage: Bacteria; Bacillati; Armatimonadota. RNAcentral also lists the same sequence under 6 other names.